This 483-nucleotide small RNA is filed under the name Pan troglodytes (chimpanzee). RNAcentral describes it as "processed transcript". Lineage: Eukaryota; Metazoa; Chordata; Mammalia; Primates; Hominidae. The record is from RNAcentral.
UACAAGAUCUGCGCCUGGAUGCAGCUCUUGGCAGGAGGAAUGUAACUUUUGGAAAUGGCUGGAAGUCACUCCAGAUCAAGUAUAGAGAAUACGAUGGGUCAUCAAAUUGAUAAUUGUCACUUGGAAUGACAGCCAAGGUGUGAGGACAAAGUCAUGAGGCUGAUCUGUUUCCACAAGAGGACUUUUACAAAUCCAGGGAGGAAUUACUGCCUCAUUGGAAGAACUGCCCAAACUCCUAAAAGGACUAUUUUGAAGAAGGCAGAUGUGGACAUUCUAAUGGGCUUGUUUCAAAUUCAUCUCACCCAACUCAAUUUAGAUGUGGAUCUUUGAAGAGGGUGGGAAAGGUGAACUAUAGGAUAUGGGGGAUAUGGCUCCAUACUUCUCUGUGGUACCCAGGGAGGUGAUAUUAUGUAUUUCUGUUCUAUUUCUCCUGCAAAGGCAAGCUGGAAUCCUCAAUUCAUCAACCUUAAUUUGGAGUCUGCA